GACCCCAGGUCAGGCGAGACCACCCGCUGAGUUUAAGCAUAUUAAUAAGCGGAGGAAAAGAAACUUACAAGGAUUCCCUUAGUAACGGCGAGCGAACCGGGAACAGCCCAGCUUGAAAAUCGUUAGGCACUGCCUUUCGAAUUGUAGUCUGUAGAAGCGUCCUCAGCGGCGGACCGAGCACAAGUCCCCUGGAAGGGGGCGCCGGAGAGGGUGAGAGCCCCGUUGUGCGCGGACCCUGCUGCUUCACGAGGCGCUGUCGGCGAGUCGGGUUGUUUGGGA
RNAcentral lists this ribosomal RNA (279 nucleotides) under Cabomba furcata. RNAcentral describes it as "partial large subunit ribosomal RNA". It matches the Rfam family "Eukaryotic large subunit ribosomal RNA", at positions 1 to 279 of the family's 3401-position model. Lineage: Eukaryota; Viridiplantae; Streptophyta; Magnoliopsida; Nymphaeales; Cabombaceae. The record is from RNAcentral.